Long non-coding RNA from Athalia rosae (coleseed sawfly), 455 nucleotides. RefSeq lists it as uncharacterized. The transcript has 2 exons. Lineage: Eukaryota; Metazoa; Arthropoda; Insecta; Hymenoptera; Athaliidae. The record is from RefSeq and is a predicted model, not a curated record.
GGGCCAGCCAACGUUCGCACCUCUUCGGUAGCUGGUUUCAAUCGUUCACCCUCGGCGAGGAGCUCCUGCGUGGAAGAAAAAAAUAUUAAGAAAAUAUUCGAAACGGGUCGAAGGAAAACUGGGAAAUCGGGGAACCGUUCAAUGUUUCGGGGAUCGGAGAGAGCCCGAGAGGGGUCACGCACCUGCGGUGCCUGCCCGUACAAGUCUGGCAAACUUUGCCCUUUCGAACUCGGAAUAUUCGGGGGUUGGAGUUGAAAAAUCAGCUGUACGGCUUCGGUUAACAUAUGCUUCGCUGUGCAUUCGAUUGAAAUUAUCAAAGCGUGGUACGCAAUUUUUUUUGGAUCCGCUAAUACGGAUUGCGUAAUUGAUUGGGGUGAAAACGCUCAUGAAUAAAACAAUAUGAUUCUGACUGAGUGAAUGGAACGAGUACCGCGAAACCGUGCCAGCGAUAAGAA